UACAGAGGUCUCAACCGUUGUUCGGAUUCAUUGGGCGUAAAGGGUGCGUAGGUGGCGUCGUAAGUCAGGUGUGAAAUCCCCGAGCUUAACUCGGGAACUGCCGUGGAUACUAUCGAUCUUGAAUACUGUGGAGGUAAGCGGAAUAUGUCAUGUAGCGGUGAAAUGCUUAGAUAUGACAUAGAACACCGAUAGCGAAGGCAGCUUGCUACACAGUCAUUGACACUGAGGCACGAAAGCGUGGGGAGCAAACAGG
This 253-nucleotide ribosomal RNA is filed under the name uncultured bacterium. Its description in RNAcentral is "partial 16S ribosomal RNA". It matches the Rfam family "Bacterial small subunit ribosomal RNA", at positions 524 to 776 of the family's 1533-position model. The record is from RNAcentral.